UUUAGAAGGACACUACAUGGGGAAACUUUGGAGCUAUGGUAUGCUUUGAGAAGUAGAUGUGAAAAAAUUAAAAUGAAUGGUGAAAAAGAUAAGAUCAAAUGGACUCUAACUACUGAUGGAAAAUUCUCUGUUAAAUCUUUAUACAAAGAAUUGAUUACGUCUGGUUUGAAAUUCCCAUAGAAAUACCUGUGGAAAAUCAAAGUUCCUGCAAAAAUUAAAGUCUUCUUGUGGUUAAUAAAUAAGAAAAGUAUUUUGAGUAGGGAUGUCCUACUUAAAAAAGGAUGGAAAGGGGGAAAAGAAUGUGUGUUUUGCGGACAGGAUGAAUCAAUUGAUCAUUUAUUGUUCACUUGCUCUGCGGCUUCUUUGCUUUGGAGCCUGGUUAGAUGUGUCUGUGGUCUGAAAACCAUUCCUUUUAGUGUUAAAGAAUGUUUUGGGGAAUGGAUUAGCAAAUUUUGCAAAGAAGAUAAGAAAAUGGUGAUGGGUGGGGUUUCUGCCUUAUUAUGGGCAAUUUGGAAAAGUAGAAAUGCAAUUGUUUUUGAGAAAAAAAGGAUUAAUGAUCCUUUUCAGAUAAUCAAACUAAUGGUUUCGGUGGUUGAUUGA
RNAcentral lists this ribosomal RNA (600 nucleotides) under Triticum aestivum (bread wheat). RNAcentral's name for it is "partial small subunit ribosomal RNA". The record is from RNAcentral. Lineage: Eukaryota; Viridiplantae; Streptophyta; Magnoliopsida; Poales; Poaceae.